RNAcentral lists this ribosomal RNA (253 nucleotides) under uncultured bacterium. Its description in RNAcentral is "partial 16S ribosomal RNA". It matches the Rfam family "Bacterial small subunit ribosomal RNA", at positions 524 to 776 of the family's 1533-position model. The record is from RNAcentral.
UACAGAGGUCUCAAGCGUUGUUCGGAAUCACUGGGCGUAAAGGGUGCGUAGGUGGCGCGGAAAGUCGUCGGUGAAAGCUCGGGGCUCAACCCUGAGUCUGCCGGUGAUACUCCCGCGCUCGAGCUCACUAGAGGCAGAUGGAAUUCCGGGUGUAGCGGUGGAAUGCGUAGAGAUCCGGAAGAACACCGGUGGCGAAGGCGGUCUGCUGGGGUGAGGCUGACGCUGAUGCGCGACAGCGUGGGGAGCAAACAGG